RNAcentral lists this RNase P RNA (215 nucleotides) under Candidatus Pelagibacter sp. TMED239. RNAcentral describes it as "partial RNase P RNA component class A". It matches the Rfam family "Bacterial RNase P class A", at positions 157 to 367 of the family's 367-position model. Rfam says of the family: Ribonuclease P (RNase P) is a ubiquitous endoribonuclease, found in archaea, bacteria and eukarya as well as chloroplasts and mitochondria. The record is from RNAcentral. Lineage: Bacteria; Pseudomonadati; Pseudomonadota; Alphaproteobacteria; Candidatus Pelagibacterales; Candidatus Pelagibacteraceae.
AAAAGGUGUGGUAAGAGCACACCGGUUCUAUUGGUAACAAUGAACGCUGGAAAACCCCACUGGGAGCAAGACUAAGUAGAGAUGACAUUGUUGAAAAACAAAAAGUAAUUCUUGGCUCGUCAUCAGGGUUAGUCGCUUGAGCUUAAGAGUGAUCUUGAGCCUAGAUAAAUGAUAGGUUUAAAUGACAGAACCCGGCUUAUAGUUUAUCUGGCAAA